RNAcentral lists this transfer RNA (82 nucleotides) under Gemmatimonadota bacterium. RNAcentral describes it as "Gemmatimonadetes bacterium (bioreactor metagenome) tRNA-Tyr". It matches the Rfam family "tRNA". From Rfam's summary of the family: Transfer RNA (tRNA) molecules are approximately 80 nucleotides in length. Lineage: Bacteria; Pseudomonadati; Gemmatimonadota. The record is from RNAcentral.
GGCGGCUUCGCCUAGAGGCGAUGGCAUCGCGCCGUAAACGCGACGGCUUCGGCCCGCGGGGGUUCGAGUCCCUCAGCCGCCA